GCGGAGGAAAAGAAACCAACAGGGAUUGCCUCAGUAACGGCGAGUGAAGCGGCAACAGCUCAAAUUUGAAAUCUGGCCUCACGGUCCGAGUUGUAAUUUGUAGAGGAUGUUUCGAGCAUGGUCCGGCCUAAGUGUCUUGGAACAGGACGUCAUAGAGGGUGAGAACCCCGUAUGCGGUCGGGUGCCUACGCUCAUGUGAAACUCCUUCGACGAGUCGAGUUGUUUGGGAAUGCAGCUCAAAAUGGGUGGUAAAUUUCAUCUAAAGCUAAAUAUUGGCCAGAGACCGAUAGCGCACAAGUAGAGUGAUCGAAAGAUGAAAAGCACUUUGGAAAGAGAGUUAAACAGUACGUGAAAUUGUUGAAAGGGAAGCGCUUGCAACCAGACUUGGGCGCGGCCGAUCAUCCGGUGUUCUCACCGGUGCACUCGGUCGCGUGCAGGCCAGCAUCGGUUCUGGUGGCUGGAUAAAGGCCCUAGGAAUGUGGCUCCUCUCGGGGAGUGUUAUAGCCUAGGGUGCAAUGCAGCCUACCGGGACCGAGGACCGCGCUUCGGCUAGGAUGCUGGCGUAAUGGUUGUAAGUGACCCGUCUUGAAACACGGACCAAGGAGUCUAACAUCUAUGCGAGUGUUUGGGUGUCAAACCCAUACGCGUAAUGAAAGUGAACGGAGGUGAGAACCCUUAAGGGUGCAUCAUCGACCGAUCCUGAUGUCUUCGGAUGGAUUUGAGUAUGAGCAUAGCUGUUGGGACCCGAAAGAUGGUGAACUAUGCCUGACUAGGGUGAAGCCAGAGGAAACUCUGGUGGAGGCUCG
RNAcentral lists this unclassified non-coding RNA (806 nucleotides) under Bettsia alvei. RNAcentral's name for it is "sequence contains 28S rRNA gene". It matches the Rfam family "Eukaryotic large subunit ribosomal RNA", at positions 50 to 877 of the family's 3401-position model. Lineage: Eukaryota; Fungi; Ascomycota; Leotiomycetes. The record is from RNAcentral.